This is a long non-coding RNA of Aethalodelphis obliquidens (Pacific white-sided dolphin), 4458 nucleotides long. RefSeq lists it as uncharacterized. The transcript has 3 exons. Lineage: Eukaryota; Metazoa; Chordata; Mammalia; Artiodactyla; Delphinidae. The record is from RefSeq and is a predicted model, not a curated record.
AAGAUCUGGCACAGCCAGAUAAAUAAAUAAAAUUUUUUUUAAUUAAAAAAAAAGAAAGUAUGGCUCACUCACAGGAAAAAAGAAAAAGAAAUUAAUAAAAACUGUCCCUGAGGAAACCAGACACUGGAUUCAGUAGACAAAGACUUUAAAUCAACUGUCUUAGAUAUUUUCAGAAAACUAAAUCAAGAAAAUGAUGUCUCACCAAGGCUGGCUCCUCUGUCAACUCCCAGUUCCCUCUUUCCCACCCAACUUCUAGCUUCACUGCUAUCUUGGGAAUUUUCCUAAAAAUUUUGUGGUGGGAGAAGGGGAAUAAAGAUAAAGAAAAAAAAAGAAAGAAAAUGAUGGCUCAGUGACUAUCAAUAGAACAAUAGAAAUUAUAAAAAGGAACCAAGUAGAAAUAUGGGAGCUGAAAAGUACAAUAACUGAAAUUAAAAAUUCACUAGAGGGUAGAUUUGAGCAGGCACAAGAAUCUCAACAAACCUGAAUAUAGGUCAAAUAAAAUUAUCCAGUCUGAGGAGCAGAAAGAAAAAAGAAUGAAGGAAAAUUAGCCUAAGAGACCUGUGGGCUGACAUCAAGUGUACAAACAUAUGCAUAAUGGGAGUCCCAGAGGGAGAAGAGAUAGAGAAAAGGACAGAAAGAAUAUUUGAAGAAAUAAUGCUCAAAAAGUCCCUCAAACUUAUGAAAGGCAUGAAUCUACACAUCCAAGAAGCUCAACAAAUUCCAAGGAGGGUAUACUCAAAGAGAUCUACACCAGGACAGAUUAUAAUCAAACUGUCAAAAUCCAAAGUCAAAGAAAGAAUCUUGAAAACAAGAGAGAAGCAGCUUAUUAUGCACAAGGGAUCUUCAGUAAGAUUAAAAACCAAUUUUUCAUCAGAAACUAUGGAGGCCAGAAGGCAGUGAGAUAACACAGUUAAAGUGUUGAAAGAAAAAAAAACAAAAAACCAAACCUUUCAACUAAGAUUUCUGUAUCUGGCAAGACUAUCGUUCAGAAAUGUAAGAGAAAGUAAGAUAUGCCCAGAUAAACAAAAAUUGAGGGAGUUCAUUGCUAGUAGACCUGCCUUACAAGAAAUACUAAAGGGAGCAAAUCCUUCAGCAUGUCAGACAUGAGGAAAGGAGGAGACUCUGAUGCUGCCCUGGGCCUCUACAUCCAUAUUUCAGCCACCUACCCAAGCCUUCCCCAAAGCUGUUAAAAGGCUCCAUCAAACUUACAGGGCUCCUGGAAGCUGCAGGAUCCGCAAGGCUCCUCGCCACAUGCCCUGGGUCCCAGGCCCCUCAGGAGGGUCAGGCCGUGGGCAGGACAUGGUGACAGUGAGCAGAGAGCAGGCACUGUGGAGGAGAUCAAAGGAUCAGGCCAAAUGGCUAGGGGAUGGGGGUGGGUGAAGGCACCUGCCUGUCCUCACCUGUCUUCACCACCUGCAGCCUGCAAGUACAGCUCUGAGGCAGCUCUUGAGUCAGACACCUCCACUUCACUGGCAUUUUCUACCACGCUGGAGGAAGGGAAGGCUGAUCUCAGCUCCUAAGCACAAGGGUUCUGUCCAGCCCCCCAGAAUCUCUGCAUGGGGAGCCCAUGGGGGCCCAAGAGCCUAUAAGAAUCAUCCCCAAGACUCCAAGCUCAAUAUAUCCCCUAAAAGCCUCUCAUCUUCAUGAUCUUAUUUUUUCUCCUAUCAUCUGCCCAGUGAGGGAAACAAGAUAGUUGGGAUUGCUCCCAUUUUAUAGAUGGAGAAACUGAAGUUCAGCUCGGUGAGAUGCUCAGAUCACCCGGGAUGGUAAUGACUGAGUUGAAGAGGUGUAAGUGGAUGGGGUGGUGAGAAGAGCGAGAGGUUAUGGAGAUAUGGGAUGAAGGGAAGACGGUGAGAGGGAGUCCUGGGGGCAAAUGCAAAACCUGUAAGCAUGACCCCAAGUUCAUAACUUCCCUUCCCUGGAGCGGCAGUGGGGAGAAGCCUCCAACGGCUUGGUUUGGGGUGUCAGCCCUGACUUAAGACAAGCUCCCUCAGACCCCGUUGGGCUCUGGACACUCACAAGCCCAGAGGGGACACAUCCAGCACUGACAGGGUCUCUGAGCCUGGAGCAAGCAGGUCCCGACUCCUCCCACUGGUGCUGAGCUGCGAUCACACAAGCACAACAUCUGUUACAAACCGAACCUUUCCCCAGCCUUUGGCUCAUGUGAUCCUCCCGCUGGGGCCCUGUGAACCAAGCAGGGCACCAAAAUUCAGCCAUCUCAGGCAGGAAAAAGGAGACCCCAGCAAGGCAAGCCGACAGUGGUGUGGAGGAUGAACGGGAAGAGGGGGAACCAAUGAGAGACUAGCUGUAGGUGUUUGGACGGGCAAAAGAUCCAAACUCUUCAGGCAGUCCCUGAGCCUUGGGCUCUUUUGCAGCAUCAACAUGGCCUUGGCUCCCCAGGUCUCCCCUCCCCUCAGGACCUCACCUGCACCAGGCUAAGUGUACUAAGCACGGCAUCAGAGCCCCUGAGGGGCAGAGCUUCUUCAAACAGCAUCUGCAGCAGCUAAAGAGGAGAAGGGUGAGUGAGGAUUGAGAAAGGAUUAACCUGUUUUUCAACAUUUCCUGAGGGCAAGGAAAUUAUUUCUAUGCCUGGCCCUGUGCUAGGUGCUCUGGACUUGGUGGCCAGGACAAAAAUAGCCCCUGGCCUUGUGGUUCCCAGCGAGCCAGACAAGUGAGCAGACAUUUUCAGUGGGACCUCCUGUUUGCUAGGGUAGGGGCUCAUGACAAGGUUUUGAGGCAACUAUUUUAGUUUGGGGGCACUUUGCUGAAGCCUAAAAACAAAAUGUUUAUUAUCAUCAUUAGUAUUGCUAAGAACAGUGAAAAGUAGACUUCCCUGAGUAUUUGAUCUUUGCACACCACCCCUCCUUGACCCUCACCUCAUGGACCCCAGCCUCCCACCUUCCCUGACCUCUCAAUAGCUUCGUGAUUGAUGCUGGAAAAACAUCCUGUAUGGACCACGGGGUGCUAUAGGAACCCCAAGGAGGGGCACCUAGUCCAGCUAGGGUGGGGAGGGGAAAGUUCUCGAAGGUCUCCUUGAGGAGCCAACACUUGAGUCUCAUAACAGCUAUGACUGGUGCAUCCUCUGGGACUCACCUGAGGCACAAGCCGGGGUGCCUCUGUUUCUCGACCCCGAAGCAGCAGGGCCACACUGUACCCUCGGCCCACCGAGCCCAGCAUGCACUGGACUCUUGCUAGCAACUCCUGCUCCACCUCCUGCAGGGAGACACAGGCACAUCUCCGACUCAGGUGCCUGCCCAGCCUGCCCUGACCAGAGAGCUUGGGAAGCACUCAGCACUCCAGGAUCAAGGGUCCUGAGUGCUCUGACCCUCCUCCCAUCGCCCUACCAGACCCCCCUACCUGAGGAGCAUCAGAACCCAGGACUCUGUCAAAGGUGAUGCAUUGUUCCUGUGAGCAGAACUGGAGUCAACAGUGUCACUCCCAUCUUCCCUGGACUUAGCCACACCCCAUCCCAGCCCAUCCCAUCUCUACCUGACUCUCCGGAAUCCCACGCUGACACAGGCGGAUGCUCUUGGGCCCCUCCAGGAGGAGCGUGGGGCAACAGGUCUCCUCGGGGCCUGAGACAGGUUCAUCCAUGAUGUAGCAUGUAUCAGUACUUCUUUCGUUUCUGUGGCUGAAUAAUGUUCCAUGUAGGAUGAAAUUACUUCUGUCACCAACUACCCAGAGUUUGGCCAGACUUCACAGCUUCUGUUCCUCCUUCUAAAGUUCAUACGGAUUUCAACAGAUGCUGAAUAGUCAGAACAAUCUUAUAAAAGAAGAACAAAGUUGGAGGACUCACACUUCCUGAUUUCAAAACUUAUUGUGAAGCUAUAGUAACCAAGACACUGUGGUACUGGCAUAAGAACAAACAUAGAGAUCUGUGAGAGAGCAGAGCAGUAAGGGUCCAGAAAUAAACUCAUGUUUCUAUGGACAGCUGAUUUGACAAGGACAUCAAGAACAUUCAAUGAGGAAAGAUUAAUCUUUUUAACUAAUGGCACUGGGACACCUGGACAUCCAGAUACCGAUGAAUGGAGUUGGACCCUUACCUCAGACCAUAUACAAAAAUUAACUCAAAUCGAUCAAUUUCCCAAACUUAAGAGCUCAAACUAUAAAACUCAUAGAAGAAAAUACAGAAACUAAUCCUCAUGGCCUUUAAUCUGGCAAUGAGUUCUUAGAUAUGAUACCAAAAGCAAGCACAACAGAAGAAAACAUGAUAAACUGAAUUUCAUCAAAGUUAAAAACUUUUGUGCAUCAAAAGACAUUAUCAAAAAUAUGAAAAGGCAGCCUACAACAUGGGAGAAAAUAUUUGCAAAUUAUAUACCUGAUGAUGAUCUACUAUCCAGGAUAUAUAGAGAGCUCCUACAACUCAGCAACAAAAAGACAAACAACUCAAGUAAAAAAUGAGGGAAAGACUUGAAUAGCCAUUUCUCCAAAGAACAUAUACACAGUGCAUAAAAAGAU